GAUGAACGCUGGCGGCGUGCCUAAUACAUGCCAGUCGAGCGAACAGACGAGGAGCUUGCUCCUCUGACGUUAGCGGCGGACGGGUGAGUAACACGUGGAUAACCUACCUAUAAGACUGGGAUAACUUCGGGAAACCGGAGCUAAUACCGGAUAAUAUAUUGAACCGCAUGGUUCAAUAGUGAAAGACGGUUUUGCUGUCACUUAUAGAUGGAUCCGCGCCGCAUUAGCUAGUUGGUAAGGUAACGGCUUACCAAGGCGACGAUGCGUAGCCGACCUGAGAGGGUGAUCGGCCACACUGGAACUGAGACACGGUCCAGACUCCUACGGGAGGCAGCAGUAGGGAAUCUUCCGCAAUGGGCGAAAGCCUGGCGGAGCAACGCCGCGUGAGUGAUGAAGGUCUUCGGAUCGUAAAACUCUGUUAUUAGGGAAGAACAAAUGUGUAAGUAACUAUGCACGUCUUGACGGUACCUAAUCAGAAAGCCACGGCUAACUACGUG
RNAcentral lists this ribosomal RNA (497 nucleotides) under uncultured bacterium. RNAcentral's name for it is "partial 16S ribosomal RNA". It matches the Rfam family "Bacterial small subunit ribosomal RNA", at positions 28 to 507 of the family's 1533-position model. The record is from RNAcentral.